AGGCUUUCUCACCUUAUAAAAAGAUCACUGGAUCCUUUUAAAUAACUGUUGUGAGCGAGCUAUGGUGAUAACAGACCAAACACUAGUGUGUUUUUCCACAUGUCAGAAUUUUUGAAUAACAAUAAAUUCCAGGUUAUACCACUUUCAUCGGUGGCAGUUCAUCGAAUACUUGUAGGUCACCUUAUAGUCAUAAUCCAGGCAAUCCCAAAUUCUUUUAUUCCAAUCUUAAAAGGUUAAGAAAGGGUUAAGGCAACCACAGGGGUUGGGGAGGCUGAAGUGAGAGCAAAGGCGGAGAGCAGAUAAAAAUGCAGUCGUUGUAGGCGUUCAGAUAAGAUUAGAACCAGCCAAAGAACUUGUUCAGGGUCGCAGAACUGUCAAGGGGCAGGAACUUAUCGGCCAAGGUCUGGACAGAAGGCAGUCUCAGAAUGUCAGCUUGGAAUGGGGUGUGUGGUCUCUGCUGAAGCCGAGGACAGAGAAGAUACUCACUGUGGCAAUUUUCCUGGGCAAGACUCAUGAGGAGUGACCAGAGCUUGAUGGACUUAUCUUAAUUACCAAGGCUGAAUAAACACUAGGGGGCUCCCUGGAGUGCAGAAUGUGCAAGAAAACUGCGGAAUACAGAUUACAAAUUAUGUAUAAUACUUCCAUUUUUCCUUGUCCUCAGGGACCAAAAAGUACUCAAUGUCACAAUAAAAAAACAUAAUAAACAUUACUAAUAUUUCCUAAAUGA
Long non-coding RNA from Marmota monax (woodchuck), 727 nucleotides. RefSeq lists it as uncharacterized. Lineage: Eukaryota; Metazoa; Chordata; Mammalia; Rodentia; Sciuridae. The transcript has 2 exons. The record is from RefSeq and is a predicted model, not a curated record.